GUGCCAGCAGCUGCGGUAAUACGGAGGGUGCAAGCGUUAAUCGGAAUUACUGGGCGUAAAGCGCACGCAGGCGGUCUGUUAAGUCAGAUGUGAAAUCCCCGGGCUCAACCUGGGAACUGCAUCUGAUACUGGCAGGCUUGAGUCUCGUAGAGGGGGGUAGAAUUCCAGGUGUAGCGGUGAAAUGCGUAGAGAUUUGGAGGAAUACCGGUGGCGAAGGCGGCCCCCUGGACGAAGACUGACGCUCAGGUGCGAAAGCGUGGGGAGCAAACAGGAUUAGAUACCCUGGUAGUCCACGCUGUAAACGAUGUCGACCUGGAGGUUGUGCCCUUGAGGCGUGGCUUCCGGAGCUAACGCGUUAAGUCGACCGCCUGGGGAGUACGGCCGCAAGGUUAAAACUCAAAUGAAUUGACGGGGGCCCGCACAAGCGGUGGAGCAUGUGGUUUAAUUCGAUGCAACGCGAAGAACCUUACCUGGUCUUGACAUCCACAGAAGUUUUCAGAGAUGAGAACGUGCCUUCGGGAACU
RNAcentral lists this ribosomal RNA (524 nucleotides) under uncultured bacterium. RNAcentral describes it as "bacterial SSU rRNA". It matches the Rfam family "Bacterial small subunit ribosomal RNA", at positions 505 to 1028 of the family's 1533-position model. The record is from RNAcentral.